GACAGCAAUAUGAAGGCCAGGCUGAAGACUUUGCCGGAUUAGCUGAGAGGUGGUGCAUGGCCGUCGUCAGUUCGUACUGUGAAGCAUCCUGUUAAGUCAGGCAACGAGCGGGACCCACGCCCACAGUUGCCAGCGUACUCUCUGGAGUGACGGGUACACUGUGGGGACCGCCGCUGCUAAAGUGGAGGAAGGAGAGGGCGACGGUAGGUCAGUAUGCCCCGAAUCUCCCGGGCUACACGCGGCCUACAAUGGACAGGACAAUGGGCUCCGAUCCCGAAAGGGAAAGGCAAUCCUUUAAACCUGUUCUUAGUUCGGAUUGAGGGCUGUAACUCGCCCUCAUGAAGCUGGAAUCUCUAGUAAUCGCGUGUCAUUAUCGCGCGGUGAAUACGUCCCUGCUCCUU
RNAcentral lists this ribosomal RNA (401 nucleotides) under uncultured Methanosaeta sp. RNAcentral's name for it is "bacterial SSU rRNA". It matches the Rfam family "Archaeal small subunit ribosomal RNA", at positions 938 to 1338 of the family's 1478-position model. Lineage: Archaea; Methanobacteriati; Methanobacteriota; Methanomicrobia; Methanotrichales; Methanotrichaceae. The record is from RNAcentral.